UGCUGAAGCUCACGCUCACACUCACACUACUUAUCAACUGUCUGUCCUGACAAGACUGAGACAUCAGAUGUCCGCGGGAAAUAUGGAACUUGAGGGAAAAAGAAAAAUUAAGGAGCAAUGUGCCCUGAGGAAGGACAUCAUCAAAGAGUUCCUGGCAGAAUUUCUGGGGAUAUUCGUAUUAAUACUCUUUGGAUGUGGCUCGGUGGCCCAGACAGUGCUGAGUAAGGGAGCUCUGGGAGAACCCCUGACCAUCCACAUCGGCUUCACUCUGGGGGUGAUGAUGGCCGUCUACGUGGCUGGGGGAGUGUCAGGGGCCCAUGUGAACCCAGCAGUCUCUCUGGCCAUGGUGGUCCUGGGCAAGCUGCCUAUAAAGAAGUUCCCUGUCUACGUGGCAGCACAGUUCCUGGGUGCCUUCGCUGGAUCUUGUGCUGUCUAUGGGUUGUAUUACGAUGCCUUAAUGGAACACACAGGAGGAGUUAUGCAAGUUACUGGCAUCAAUGCCACAGCUAAUAUAUGGGCAUCCUACCCUGCCAAGCACAUCUCAGUCCUUGGAGGAUUCGUAGACCAGGUGAUAGGAACAGCUGCCUUGAUCCUGUGCAUUCUGGCCAUUAUUGAUGGGAAGAACAUUGGAGCUCCUAAAGGGAUGGAGCCACUGUGCAUUGGCCUGAUCAUCAUGGCCAUCGGCGUGUCCAUGGGACUCAACUGUGGCUAUCCCAUCAACCCUGCUAGAGACCUGGGCCCAAGGCUCUUCACUGCUGUGGCUGGUUGGGGCAUGGAGGUGUUCCGGUAAUUUCCAACAAUGCUUAUACUAGAGAAAAGACAAGUCCCACAAAUGUGAGCUGGAUGGCCUCCAUAAGUACAGUAGAAUUUCACAAACAUUGUUAGAUGCCUUUUGCCCUGAAACCCUUUGAAAUUGAAAAUGUGCUUUCUUCUCCAAAUAAAAAUCAAACAGCCCAUAUUCACUUUACAGUAGAACAUUGAAAGAUUCAUAAAGACGCAGAAACAGAGUAUGUGUGUGUGUGACAGGAAAACCCCUCUCUGAUCUGGGCAUGCCAAGUGGAGAUGCAGGCACAUUAUUCUGCUUUUCAGUCCUCCUCCCCAGCAGUGGCUGGGAGUUAGGCACGCAGUGUGAGAAACAUGGGAGUGAAUACCAGUGGCCUGGCCUCCUUCUCUCCUACAGGAUGUAACUGACAGUUAGACUUACAGGUUAUAUCGUUGUCUUUUGUUUGAAUUGUUUAUGUGUCCGCUGUGCGGGGGAAAUGAUAAUACAAGCGGAACUACGUAGCUAAUACUGUUGUAAUGGGGAUAUAUUGUAGCAACACACUUUUGGAGGGAAGGCAAUCCUGCGCUGCGUUAGCUAAGUUUUCAUGUCAUCGGGUGUAGUUCAUAAAGGUUGAAGAGUGUAUGUUAGGAUGAAGUGUGAAUUCAUGCCAGGAAUAAUAAGUGUGAAGUUUGAUUUCCUCCCUUCUGUAAUAAGCAGCCAAUGAGGUAUUUUUUCCUUUAUUCAUGUGUUUAAUCUGAACCCGUUAUAACGCCGGUUAAACUUUUAUGUAUGUAAGCACUUCAGAGUUAUACCAAGCUAAUAAGUCACUCGUAAGAUAAUGUUGUAAGAGUGUGCUUA
Molecule: RNA transcript, 1621 nt
Organism: Oncorhynchus keta (chum salmon)
Lineage: Eukaryota; Metazoa; Chordata; Actinopteri; Salmoniformes; Salmonidae
Gene name: aquaporin-9-like
Exons: 6
Source: RefSeq, a predicted model, not a curated record